CAUUUUCCUUAACAAUCUUAAUUACAGAGUCAUCCCCAUACCCCGUCCGGUAUAAGUACCAAGACAUUAACCUUCAAUACUUGUCCGAUAUGAGGGUGAAGUGAGCCGUCCCCAUAUUCUGUCCGGUAUGAGCGCUAAAUGACUAAGUCUUCAUACCCCGUGGGAUAUGAGACAACGUUCACGGUAGGGUUUCCUAUGAACUCGGUCCGUCUACCAUCUCCUAAGAUAUCUAGUGAGGCUGUCGUCUUAUCUGUUUAUUUGAUCACACCCCUUUUCUGUUUUUCCUUAGUCCCCGUUACCAAAUCAAACAUAAUCACAUAAACCAAUGAACAUGCAUCCGGUAAUGCAAUCAUAUCUUAAAUCUCAAAAUUACAUAGUGAUCAAGUAAGGCAGUAAUACAUGUAUUUAAACCAUCAAGUAGAUAAACCAGAUACUAUCAUAUUUUUAGAUUGUAAAAUAAGUCAACAGAAAUCAACAGAAAACAAUGUCCGAUU
This 494-nucleotide long non-coding RNA is filed under the name Carica papaya (papaya). RNAcentral's name for it is "long non-coding RNA (CPAP_LNC008508)". Lineage: Eukaryota; Viridiplantae; Streptophyta; Magnoliopsida; Brassicales; Caricaceae. The record is from RNAcentral.